AACGAACGCUGGCGGCAGGCUUAACACAUGCAAGUCGAACGGAUGUAGCAAUACAUCAGUGGCAGACGGGUGAGUAACACGUGGGAACCUUCCUCGUUGUACGGGACAACUCAGGGAAACUUGAGCUAAUACCGUAUACGUCCGAGAGGAGAAAGAUUUAUCGCAAUGAGACGGGCCCGCGUCGGAUUAGCUAGUUGGUGGGGUAACGGCCGUACCAAGGCGACGAUCCGUAGCUGANCUGAGAGGAUGAUCAGCCACACUGGGACUGAGACACGGCCCAGACUCCUACGGGAGGCAGCAGUGGGGAAUCUUGGACAAUGGGCGCAAGCCUGAUCCAGCCAUGCCGCGUGAGUGAAGAAGGCCUUAGGGUUGUAAAGCUCUUUUGCC
Molecule: ribosomal RNA, 387 nt
Filed under: uncultured bacterium
Lineage: Bacteria
Description: bacterial SSU rRNA
Rfam family: Bacterial small subunit ribosomal RNA
Source: RNAcentral